This 432-nucleotide long non-coding RNA is filed under the name Helianthus annuus (common sunflower). The record is from RNAcentral. Lineage: Eukaryota; Viridiplantae; Streptophyta; Magnoliopsida; Asterales; Asteraceae.
AGUUGGUGUGUCUGGGAGCGAUCGAACAAGCAGGAGGGAGGGGGAAACCCUAGCUCAAGAAAUCAAGCAAUCCAACUCAAGAUCAUAAGUUAAUUCAGUGCAUGAUCCCUAAAUUGCGUGAAAGAAGAAGGUACGAGCACUAAGCAAGCGGAAGGUGCACAAGAUCGAGGUAAAGCACCUCUAUAGGCGAUUUGGAGUUAUGGGACGAGCACAUGUUCAAGCCUUAUAAUACCAAGCGCUUCCGCAACUCAUAUGCAUACUUUUGGGUCCAUGUUUUGCCACUUUGUUAGACUUUGUUGAAAUGUUUUAGAUUUAAAAACUCGUUACUUUUGUUGGAAUGGAUUUUAUGUAAAUUGGGUCGUAGGUAAACGUUGUAUGUUAUGUCAAAACAGGGAGUAUGUCCGUUUUACAAACGGGUCAUGCCCAAUUUUU